GACGAACGCUGGCGGCGUGCCUAACACAUGCAAGUCGAGCGAAUGAAGUUCCUUCGGGAAUGGAUUUAGCGGCGGACGGGUGAGUAACACGUGGGCAACCUGCCUCAUAGAGGGGAAUAGCCUUCCGAAAGGGAGAUUAAUACCGCAUAAGAUUGUAGUAUCGCAUGAUACAGCAAUUAAAGGAGCAAUCCGCUAUGAGAUGGGCCCGCGGCGCAUUAGCUAGUUGGUGAGGUAACGGCUCACCAAGGCGACGAUGCGUAGCCGACCUGAGAGGGUGAUCGGCCCCAUUGGGACUGAGCCCCGCCCCAGACUCCCCCGGGGGGCAGCAGGGGGGAAUUUGGCACAAGGGGGGAAACCCUGAGGCCGCACCGCCGCGUGGGUGAUGACGGCCUUCGGGUUGUAAACCUCUUUCUCAAGGGACGAUAAUGCCGGUACCGGAGGAGGAAGCCCCGGCUACCUCCGG
This 463-nucleotide ribosomal RNA is filed under the name uncultured bacterium. RNAcentral's name for it is "partial 16S ribosomal RNA". It matches the Rfam family "Bacterial small subunit ribosomal RNA", at positions 28 to 506 of the family's 1533-position model. The record is from RNAcentral.